AAUGAACGCUGGCGGCGCGCCUAAUACAUGCAAGUCGAGCGAGAAGACGUAGCAAUACGUUUGUAAAGCGGCGAACGGGUGAGGAAUACAUGGGUAACCUACCCUAGAGUGGGGAAUAACUAGCCGAAAGGUUAGCUAAUACCGCGUACGCUCCUCGGACUUCGGUUCAGGGAGGAAAGCGAUGCCGAGGGUAUCGCGCUCUUGGAUGGGCUCAUGUCCUAUCAGCUUGUUGGGAGGUAACGGCUCACCAAGGCUUCGACGGGUAGCUGGUCUGAGAGGACGAUCAGCCACACUGGCACUGCGACACGGGCCAGACUCCUACGGGAGGCAGCAGUAAGGAAUAUUGCGCAAUGGGCGAAAGCCUGACGCAGCGACGCCGCGUGGGGGAUGAAGGUCUUCGGAUUGUAACCCCUUUCGGGAGGGAGAUGGAAUGGGGUACCAUUCGACGGUACCUCCAGAAGCAGCCACGGCUAACUUCGUGCCAGCAGCCGCCGUAAU
RNAcentral lists this ribosomal RNA (498 nucleotides) under uncultured bacterium. RNAcentral describes it as "bacterial SSU rRNA". It matches the Rfam family "Bacterial small subunit ribosomal RNA", at positions 29 to 524 of the family's 1533-position model. The record is from RNAcentral.